RNAcentral lists this long non-coding RNA (1328 nucleotides) under Glycine max (soybean). RNAcentral's name for it is "long non-coding RNA (GMAX_LNC002081)". Lineage: Eukaryota; Viridiplantae; Streptophyta; Magnoliopsida; Fabales; Fabaceae. The record is from RNAcentral.
ACUCAAGUCCACCUUCACUAGGACUCUUGUAGCUCCCAAGGGCCUCUCUGCCUCUUCACCACUUCACCUCGUGCCUUCUAGAAGGCAAUUUAGCUUCACUGUUAAGGCCAUCCAAUCAGAGAAGGUACACCACUUCCUCCAAUUUAUGUUCUAAUUAGUAAUUACUCUCUUUUCUUGUUAUUUAUCUAUCUAAUUCUAACCAAUGUCCUUUUUGAGCUAGUAUGGAUGACCCUUUUCUUUUCUUCUUGGAAUAUACUAGUCAUGUUAAUGUAGAUUAGGGCAAUAUAUUCAUCUUUCACAAUUUAAUUUUCAUUGUGAAUAUGUUAUCAUGUAUCCGAUUUACAUUUACAUAAAUCCGAGUCCUUUGCUAACACUACAAUUCUAUAAUGGUAUUGGAAUCUAGGAUAGAGUAGUAUCAAAGAACAUCUUUUGGAAAAGUUUAAUCUCAUUGUUUAGGAUAAAUAUUUUUAAAAUAAGAGUUUAAUUUUCAGAAACAAAUAGUUAUUCAAUAUCAAUAUUUUUGCAUUAUUUGAUUAAUUAAAAAUCAUUGAAGAUAUAAUUUUAAAUUAAGUUAUUAUAAAAGUUAAUAAUCUUAUGUUAAUAUGCCAACUUGUAAUUGAAUAUAGUUUAACGAGAAGUGAAAAAAUGGGUUAGUUGGCUCAAAAAAGGUUGUGGACUAUAGUGAGGCAAACCAAGGAAGUCCAGAUUCAAUUCAAACAUCUAGGUUAAGUAAGGUCUAGUGAAAGUUUUUUUUUGUUGUUGGAGAUUUGGUGUUUUUGUGGGCUAAGAUUGGAUCAAAAUUGAGUUAAAAUAAUCCUGUUUAAUUCGAAUUAAACAUUUAAAGUCCAAGUCUUACAUUUCAGGUGACCAAACUAACCCAACCUUUUUUCUAUUUUGCUGCCCCAAAUAUUUAAAUUAAAUUUUAUAUAGUACAUAAAAUCUUUGUUUGGUUUAAUUAAAUAAAUCCCAAAAUGAAUAUAUUCAAUAAGAAGUCAUUAAUGUUUUUCUUGGUUUUGGUUAUUGCAAAAUUUAAAAUUUACUGGCAGCCAACCUAUCAAGUGAUUCAGCCAAUCAACGGUGACCCAUUCAUUGGAAGCCUGGAAACCCCAGUUACAUCCAGCCCUUUGAUCGCAUGGUACUUGUCCAACCUGCCCGCAUACAGAACCGCAGUGAGCCCACUACUAAGAGGGAUCGAGGUGGGCCUGGCCCACGGAUACCUUCUGGUGGGCCCAUUCGUGAAGGCCGGGCCUCUUAGGAACACCGAGAUCGCCGGGCAAGCGGGCUCUCUGGCCGCCGGUGGGCUUGUGGUGAUCCUCAGCCUUUGCCUC